ACCUAGCCCUGAUAGAAGCGACAUCCUUUUGUCCGCCACGGCGGAUAAAAGAUAUAGCGGAUAGCGGGAUUAGCU
Molecule: non-coding RNA, 75 nt
Organism: Flavobacterium sp. ov086
Lineage: Bacteria; Pseudomonadati; Bacteroidota; Flavobacteriia; Flavobacteriales; Flavobacteriaceae
Source: Rfam